AGCGCGCCGCCGCUCGGGAAAGCGCAGACCCCCGCUCCAGCGCCGGCCAGACGUCGUGCAGCGGCGACUUGAGAAACUUUUUUCCUCUUUUUAUUUACACGGGAGCACUCCACAGUGUUUUGCAGCUUUCCUAUUUCACUAAACUACAGCCCAUUCUGCUCUGAUAAGUAGCAGCGUUGCCCUCGAUUGGCUGCACCCGAGUUCUGACCCUCCUCCUCCAGCGAGGGCCUCGGCAGCCAGCAAGAUGGGCUCCCGCUCCCGGAAUGGACUCGGAAACUUUAACUGCGGCUCCACCUGCUGGUGUGGAUUAGGACAAAGGCGGAGAACAAAGUCUGACGGUAACUGCUGUAAAAGACUCAGGAGAAUGGAAUUUGGAGGCUGGGGCAUUAGUUCUUGCAGAUGCGGGCCUUUGCUGUAUUGAUGAGUUCAAUAGCCUCAAAGAGCAUGAUAGGACCAGUAUCCAUGAAGCAAUGGAGCAACAAACCAUAAGUGUUGCUAAGGCUGGCCUCGUGUGCAAGCUGAACACAAGGACCACCAUCCUGGCAGCAACGAACCCCAAAGGCCAGUACGACCCCCAGGAGUCGGUGUCUGUGAACAUUGCCCUCGGCAGCCCACUCUUAAGUCGAUUUGACCUGAUCCUGGUUUUGCUUGAUACCAAGAAUGAAGACUGGGAUCGUAUCAUUUCCUCCUUUAUCUUGGAAAAUAAAGGUUACCCAAGCAAAUCAGAGAAGCUCUGGAGCAUGGAAAAGAUGAAAACCUAUUUCUGCCUCAUAAGGAAUCUGCAGCCCACACUGUCUGAUGUGGGCAAUCAAGUUCUUCUCCGGU
This 825-nucleotide small RNA is filed under the name Pan troglodytes (chimpanzee). RNAcentral describes it as "processed transcript". The record is from RNAcentral. Lineage: Eukaryota; Metazoa; Chordata; Mammalia; Primates; Hominidae.